RNAcentral lists this ribosomal RNA (292 nucleotides) under uncultured microorganism. RNAcentral describes it as "partial 16S ribosomal RNA". It matches the Rfam family "Bacterial small subunit ribosomal RNA", at positions 505 to 796 of the family's 1533-position model. The record is from RNAcentral.
GCGCCAGCAGCAGCGGUUAUACGUAUGUGGGCAGCGUUAUCGGGAAUUAUUGGGCGUAAAGCGCGCGUAGGCGGUUUUUUAAGUCUGAUGUGAAAGCCCACGGCUCAACCGUGGAGGGUCAUUGGAAACUGGAAAACUUGAGUGCAGAAGAGGAAAGUGGAAUUCCAUGUGUAGCGGUGAAAUGCGCAGAGAUAUGGAGGAACACCAGUGGCGAAGGCGACUUUCUGGUCUGUAACUGACGCUGAUGUGCGAAAGCGUGGGGAUCAAACAGGAUUAGAUACCCUGGUAGUCC